AGCAGCCGCGGUAAUUCCAGCUCCAAUAGCGUAUAUUAAAGUUGUUGCAGUUAAAAAGCUCGUAGUUGAAUUUCGGGAUUAGUACGUUGGUCGUGCCUUAGGUACGUACUGGUGUUACUGGUUCCUACCUUCUGACGAACCAUCAUGUCAUUAAUUUGGUGUGGCGGGGAAUCAGGACUGUUACUUUGAAAAAAUUAGAGUGUUUAAGGCAGGCUCGCGCUUGAAUACAUUAGCAUGGAAUAAUGAAAUAGGACGUUGACCCUAUUUUGUUGGUUUCUAGGAUUGACGUAAUGAUUAAUAGGGAUAGUUGGGGGCAUUAGUAUUCAAUUGUCAGAGGUGAAAUUCUUGGAUUUAUUGAAGACUAACUACUGCGAAAGCAUUUGCCAAGGAUGUUUUCAUUGAUCAAGAACGAAAGUUAGGGGAUCGAAGACGAUCAGAUACCGUCGUAGUCUUAACCAUAAACUAUGCCGACUAGGGAUCGGAUGAUGUUAAUUUUUUAAUGACUCAUUCGGCGCCUUACG
This 521-nucleotide ribosomal RNA is filed under the name uncultured Glomeromycotina. RNAcentral describes it as "SSU rRNA". It matches the Rfam family "Eukaryotic small subunit ribosomal RNA", at positions 569 to 1092 of the family's 1831-position model. The record is from RNAcentral. Lineage: Eukaryota; Fungi; Glomeromycota.